This 2288-nucleotide long non-coding RNA is filed under the name Homo sapiens (human). Its description in RNAcentral is "HSALNT0404244". Lineage: Eukaryota; Metazoa; Chordata; Mammalia; Primates; Hominidae. The record is from RNAcentral.
UGCUGUUUAAAAUGAAUGGAUCUCUAUUUCAAGAUGGCAUGUCUAGUACACUUACGUGCACCGCCUCACAAGCACACUGAAAUGACAGAAAAGGUAAGAAAAUAGAUGCAUAGACAAAAGAUUACAGAGAAAGGUGCUAUUAACAAAUGUGUUAUGUUACAGUUUCUUGGAACUUCCCAAGCAGAUGGGAAUUAUGAAACCAAAAGAAAAAUGACAUUCAUAGAAGAAGAAAUAAAAUUUGCCAAUAAGGUUAUUAAUAGAUGUUUAACAUCACUAACUGGACAUACUGCCAGUUGAAACAAUGAUGGCUGGGUGCAGUGGCUCACACCUGUAAUUCCGGCACUUUGGGAGGCUGAGGCAGGAGGACUGUUUGAGCCCAAGAGUCUGAGACCAGCCUGGGCAACAUAGCGAAACCCUGUCUCUACAAAAAAUACAAAAAUUAGCUGGGUGUGGUGGUGUCUGCCUGUAGUCUUGGCUACUCAGGAGGCUAAGGUGGGAGGAUCACUUGAGCCCAGGAGGACAAGACUGCAGUGAGCCGUGACUGUGCCACUGCAUACCAGCUUGGGCAACAGAGCAGAGCUGUUUCAAAACAAAACAAAACAAAACAGAACAGAAGAACAGAACAGAACAGAACAGGACACAAUGAGAACAUUUUUCAUCCAUCCAAUUGGCAAAUAAUUUCUAGAGCUGGUGAGAAGAUGGGGAAAUUGGAAUGUUUGGUCCCCGCUGGUGGGUGUGUUGUUGGUACAGCAUUUUUGGAUGGCAAUUUGGCAGUAUCAAGAUUUUAGGUGAAUAUACUCUUAGACCUAACAACUUCUUCUUAGAACGAACCUACAAAAAAUAGACAAGGAUAAGUGCAACGAUGUUCACUGUGGCGUGGGUUAGUAACAAUAAAACCUCCUAAACAUCUGCCAAAGGAAUAAUGGUUAAAUAAGGUAUGGCACGUGCAGUCUGUGGAAUUCCAGGCAGUUAUUAUAGACAAUGAGCUGGAUCCAUGUGAACUGAUGGGGAAGGAUGUUCCCACUACAGAAUAUAAGCACAUGAGGGCAGGGUUUUGCAUUUGCUUCCUCCUGUCUCCCUAAUGCCUAGAACAGUGUCAGACACAUAGUGCAUGCUCAGAAAGUAUUUGUCAAAUGAAUGGAUACACUUUCUAGGACACUAUGAAUUAGGACAAUGGACUGAAAAAUAAGCAGAAAAUUUAAACACACCAGUGACCACAGUGCAACUGCAACUGACGAUCAGUUUCCACCAAACUGCAACAGAGAGAGUGGCUUUGCCGUCUGGGCCAGCUGAGGACUCUCCUUGGAACCCAAAGAAGCAGUUUGUUUCCACCUACUCCCAAGAGCUGAAGAUUAUAAGCCAGAAGCAAACAAAGGCAGGCAAGGAAAUUUGAGGUUGUUGCAUCUGGAAGUAAACAUGUAGCUACUUCUUCUAAUAAAACAGAGGGACACAUUUUGAUUACCUGAAAAAUUCAGUUCUAUCUUUUGAUUUGGUCUGGACACCUGGAGGUCAGCAACCGAGAGCAGGAAGGAGGCACAGCAACAACAGAACAACAACAAGAGGCUGCGACAGGGGCGGCGUGGGUCAAAAGGAAGCAACCUGGAGGACGGUCCUCCUUGCGGCUUGGAGCAGAGCUUCAGGUUGGGCACCACGACAGAGCUGGGCCAGAAGUCUAACACAGCCUGUUUGGAACACAACCCGGGAUACUUGUGUGGUUGGGUUCAGUCAGUCAAGGGAAACAAGAAGCUAACCCGUGGCUGGGAGUGUUCAUGCAAUGCUCGUGGAAUACUCAGCGCAAAGCCUGCCCGCAAGCACAAAGGGUAUCAAGGAAGAGUUAAAUGGGAAGUUGGGUCAUGGUGUGGAAUCAUAUUAAGCUCUUAGGUGCUCUGACCCUGGAGGAGAGGGAUUUCACUGAGAUGAGAAGGAUGCGUGAUGGGAUCCAUGGGCACUGGAGGCUUAUAUUUCCCUCUCAUGCCAUGCUCAAGUGAUGGGAGGGCAGAGGCAUGAGAGGGUGCUAAGGGACUAAACGCCAUGGCCACAGGAGCUCUGGCCAAGGCCCCAGGAGUCAAGAAGUGCACAGAGGGCAUGGAUGCGUUGGAAAGGGGAGGUGCUGGCCUUUUAAAGAUCAUAUGGCUUGGACAAGGAACAUGCAUGAGAGAAGUACUGGACUUUUCAUUUCCUGCCCUGGGCCUUGCCAGUGGAGGAGCACUGAGAUCUGCUAUAAUCAACACUCUUAUUGGAAGCAUUACUGUUCCGUGAAAAAUCGCCUGUGCCUGGGCUUCUCUUGC